CUACUUCCUGUCGUUGCUGCCGCUAGACUGCCCGCUCCCGUUGUUUCUGUUGGAAUGUCAGUGCGACGUGUGUGUGAAGAUAGGCUGCUAGCAGGCUGAACACAAACUUAGCGCCCUUGGAAGCAGAAGGAGUUUUCACGGUGUCAGAAUGAGAGGAGAAGAAAAAGAGGAGAGAAGUAAAGUUGCACCAGUCGAAGCUCUCUGCAUUUGUUUGGUUAUUCCAAGUGGGCCGCUACAAUAAAUGCUCCACUGCGUUCACCAGCUAGUCUCUGCUGUUUGGUGCUGAGCACGUAGUGUACAGUGGGUUCCUAUCAUCCCAUAAUCUCAGUAAGAUCAAGAUCUCUUUGCUAAGAAAGACCUGAAUACAACAGAGAGAAAGAAGAACAAACAACGAAACAUAACAAAAGCACAUCAUAUACAAUCAGACAUCAUUAGAUAGAUCAAAGAUCUCCAUUGAAAAUCAAGUUUUUCACCUUGUCGAUAAGACCACAAG
Long non-coding RNA from Lates calcarifer (barramundi perch), 493 nucleotides. RefSeq lists it as uncharacterized. NCBI's taxonomy places the organism in Eukaryota, Metazoa, Chordata, Actinopteri, Centropomidae. The record is from RefSeq and is a predicted model, not a curated record. The transcript is spliced from 3 exons.